Molecule: ribosomal RNA, 369 nt
Filed under: uncultured bacterium
Lineage: Bacteria
Description: bacterial SSU rRNA
Rfam family: Bacterial small subunit ribosomal RNA
Source: RNAcentral
AACGAGCGCUGGCGGCAGGCCUAACACAUGCAAGUCGAGCGCCCCGCAAGGGGAGCGGCGGACGGGUGAGUAACGCGUGGAAACGUACCCUUUGCUACGGAAUAGCCUCGGGAAACUGGGAGUAAUACCGUAUGUGCCCUUCGGGGGAAAGAUUUAUCGGCAAAGGAUCGGCCCGCGUUGGAUUAGCUAGUUGGCGGGGUAAAGGCCCACCAAGGCGACGAUCCGUAGCUGGUCUGAGAGGAUGAUCAGCCACACUGGAACUGAGACACGGUCCAGACUCCUACGGGAGGCAGCAGUGGGGAAUAUUGGACAAUGGGGGCAACCCUGAUCCAGCCAUGCCGCGUGUGUGAAGAAGGCCUCGGUUGUAAG